UCGGGAAUUUUGGGCAAUGGGCGAAAGCCUGACCCAGCAACGCCGCGUGAAGGAUGAAGUAUUUCGGUAUGUAAACUUCGAAAGAAUAGGAAGAAUUAAUGACGGUACUAUUUAUAAGGUCCGGCUAACUACGUGCCAGCAGCCGCGGUAAUACGUAGGGACCAAGCGUUGUUCGGAUUUACUGGGCGUAAAGGGCGCGUAGGCGGCAUGACAAGUCACUUGUGAAAUCUCCGGGCUUAACUCGGAACGGCCAAGUGAUACUGUCACGCUAGAGUAUUGGAGGGGCAAUCGGAAUUCUUGGUGUAGCGGUGAAAUGCGUAGAUAUCAAGAGGAACACCUGAGGUGAAGACGGGUUGCUGGCCAAAUACUGACGCUGAGGCGCGAAAGCCAGGGGAGCAAA
Molecule: ribosomal RNA, 400 nt
Filed under: uncultured bacterium
Lineage: Bacteria
Description: bacterial SSU rRNA
Rfam family: Bacterial small subunit ribosomal RNA
Source: RNAcentral